AUUUGAUGUUGGGGACAUCUGGUGCACAAUUUGUUGAACCGCUCCCAAUGCUCAUAUAAGAUCUCCCUUGGUUGCUGCUUAAUGUCACAUAUAUCUUUUCUCAAACU
This is a small nucleolar RNA of Coffea eugenioides, 107 nucleotides long. NCBI's taxonomy places the organism in Eukaryota, Viridiplantae, Streptophyta, Magnoliopsida, Gentianales, Rubiaceae. The record is from RefSeq and is a predicted model, not a curated record.